UACAGAGGUGGCAAGCGUUGUUCGGAAUUAUUGGGCGUAAAGCGCGUGUAGGCGGCGUGACAAGUCGGGUGUGAAAGCCCUCAGCUCAACUGAGGAAGUGCGCCCGAAACUGUCGUGCUUGAGUGCCGGAGAGGGUGGCGGAAUUCCCCAAGUAGAGGUGAAAUUCGUAGAUAUGGGGAGGAACACCGGUGGCGAAGGCGGCCACCUGGACGGUAACUGACGCUGAGACGCGAAAGCGUGGGGAGCAAACAGG
This 253-nucleotide ribosomal RNA is filed under the name uncultured bacterium. RNAcentral describes it as "partial 16S ribosomal RNA". It matches the Rfam family "Bacterial small subunit ribosomal RNA", at positions 524 to 776 of the family's 1533-position model. The record is from RNAcentral.